UUACCAGACUCCUACGGGAGGCAGCAGUGGGGAAUAUUGCACAAUGGGGGAAACCCUGAUGCAGCGACGCCGCGUGAGCGAUGAAGUCUUUCGGUAUGUAAAGCUCUAUCAGCAGGGAAGAAAAUGACGGUACCUGACUAAGAAGCCCCGGCUAACUACGUGCCAGCAGCCGCGGUACUACGUAGGGGGCAAGCGUUAUCCGGAUUUACUGGGUGUAAAGGGAGCGUAGACGGUCCUGCAAGCCAGAUGUGAAAGCCCGGGGCUCAACCCCGGGACUGCAUUUGGAACUGUAAGGCUAGAGUGUCGGAGAGGCAGGCGGAAUUCCUAGUGUAGCGGUGAAAUGCGUAGAUAUUAGGAGGAACACCAGUGGCGAGGGCGGCUUACUGGACUGUAACUGACGUUGAGGCUCGAAAGCGUGGGGAGCAAACAGGAUUAGAUCCCCCCGUA
Molecule: ribosomal RNA, 447 nt
Filed under: uncultured bacterium
Lineage: Bacteria
Description: bacterial SSU rRNA
Rfam family: Bacterial small subunit ribosomal RNA
Source: RNAcentral